RNAcentral lists this transfer RNA (66 nucleotides) under Bathysciadiidae sp. MNHN-IM-2013-40843. RNAcentral's name for it is "tRNA-Phe". Lineage: Eukaryota; Metazoa; Mollusca; Gastropoda; Bathysciadiidae. The record is from RNAcentral.
GUUUAAGUAGCUUAUAAUUAAAGCAUAAUAUUGAAGCUAUUAGUAAAGAGAAAACUCUCAUAAACA